CAGACGAUGUUUUCAAUAGAAAAUUAGUACAGAAACUUGUCGCGAGGUGUCCUGCCAUGUUGUUUACUGCUAAAACUUCCGAUUUCUAGGUAAAAACAUACACGGCAAUAGAAAAAGGAAAAGGAAGCAACCUGUUGUUGAUGCUGGCUGCAAUGCACAUGUCGUGAAAGAUCGUGUGGACAUUUAUGACCAACGAUUGGAAGUAGUGGAAGAAGACAUUGUUAAACUUAAAAAAAUUGUCAAAACUCUUCAAAACGUAGACAGUCAUGAAGCCGACGUCGAAAGGUCAACGACCACUUAUCCGGUGCAUGAUUACGCCACUCUCGACGUGUACGGACACGACCUGCAGCAGCCACUUUUUGAUGUUCAGUUGUCAACCACUGGCCCGGUGCAUGAUGAUGGCCUAACUCUCGACGUGUCCAAGCUCGACGAGUCCGAAUUCUGUCAACUAUUCGAUGAUAAUUUCUAUUUAUUGAUGCAGCCUGUUAGGCUGUUGAACAAUCAUUUACUGGCGAUGUUGCGAAUUCUGCAGAAUUGCAGGUCGACAUGCAACAGCCAGUUGUCGAAGUUCAAUCAUCAACCAGUUACCCGGUGCAUGACGACCUACCUCUCCACGUGUCAGAAAUCUGUCAAUUACUCGAUGUGCAGCCUGUUGAACAAUUAUUUACUGGCGAUGUUGCGAAUUCUGCAAUCGAACCACCAAAUGUUGUCGCUGUGUUGGACGAUCAGCUUGUCACAUCACCAAAAGCUGAUACCGUUCAACAACAAAAAAUGUAUACAGAAUGUUUCGAUUUCCUUGACGGCAUGAAAACUUCAGUGGCCGAUAUGCACACCAAACACUUUUUGACCACACUUUUGGCUGGCUUUGAUACUGGCAAAUUGAAACAUCUGUGUGAUCAAAUCGAACAAUAUAACAUGUGCAUUGGAAAGCAAUACCAUGUAAAAGACGGGUGUUACGAUAAAUGUAUGUUGAAAUUUAUUCGGACGAACCUGGACAGUCGCGGGAUCACCACAGCGGUUGCCAGAUAUGGUUUUUCUGUUCUCCUGUUAAACGCAUACAAUUGAGUCGCCGAUAGCAACAAUCCAGAGGAUUUGAUAACCCUGGACAAGUUGACAGAGGAGAGUAUUCAACAUUUUGAAUGUAGGUGCGCUUCUUGCUUGAAUAGUUGAACUCGAUUAGUUUAGCAUUAUUUAGUCUGAGUAAUGGAAGUUAUGCAUGCAGUUGAAGUUUGGACAUGUGGGCGACACAUGAAACAAAUGUUACAUGAAAUUUUCUAGUUUUAGCUAAAUGAUGAUUUGAGAUUGCUAAACGCUCUUUGGUUCAGUGUUUAGAGGAAUAUUUAACAGAAUGACUGGCAUAAAAGUGCAAUUGUCAUACCGUAUGCAAGUACUGUCCACGUUGUACGCGGAUGUGCGGCCUUUUAUUCUUAUAGGGCGGUAUAUGGUGUCGCGCAAGUAAACAUUUGACUACACGUUUUUGUAUAUACUCGUUUGUGUACUUUCAGCGCAUCCUUAUGAUAAAUAUAUACUGAUGAUAUGACCGACACGAUGAGGACCGACGAUUCGACGUGCGUGAAAAUGCACGACGAAAAGCUGUUGUGUGACGACCUACGUCCUAUUGUCGAGCGUGGUCAUUGGUAUACCACUAAGACCCUAGAGGUACAACUCCUGAACGUGGUCAAGAAGCACGAAGUGGAUCACUUGGUGGAAGUGCUAGACACGACAUGGUUCAGAUAUUGGAAGGGUAAAGUGGAAAAAGAUCUAAAAGAAAAAUGUAAAACUCCUAUUUCCCAAAACGAGUCAAGGAAGUGCCAUUAUUUUGUACCUUAUAACACUAGUCAUCACUGGGUGUUGAUAUGCAGCGUAAAAAGUGUUUUGUCUUCGACAGCGUAUAUGAACGCCGGGAUUACAUUAUGCGGAUAUUCCAUUCAAUUCACGGCAACGAGUUCACGUCUUCCAAGUGCACUAAAAACAUGUUACCAGAAGGACACUUCUUCCUGUGGACUUAUGUGCGUCCGACAUGCGGAAUAUUUCGUGAUGAGCUAUGUGUCCAAAGUCUGUCCAUUGAUUAUAGAGGUCAUGGCACAACAUGAUAAUUCGAUGCACUUGCAUAACUAUUGGCUGCACAGAAAACACCGUUUGUACGAUUCAUCGAAAAUACAUAACCAAACUGGCGACAAAUCGAUUACACCACCGAUAACGACUGUUUCAUUGUUGACUCACCAAAAUCGGACUCUGGUGAUGUCGCAUCACAUCGUGCUGACGGUGAUGACAAAUGUUCCGAAUUUAACUCUCACCAGCCACAAGGAAGGGUUGUUGAAUUGUACUCUCGAUACUCGAGACUCCGACAAAAAAGAAUAAUAGGAAUUGAUUGACACUAUAGACCCAUGUUUAUAAUUAGGGUCCCUUGUUUACAAAUUUGCCAAAUUGUCACUUUUUUGGCCCCACUUCAAGGCCUUGAAGUGCGGUCCGUUCGGAAAAUUCACCAAGGACAGAGAAACGUGAUGUACCUAUGGCGAAUAUCUUAGACAAUAUAAAAACCUCUUUAGAUGAAUAGUCAAGGAAUAAAUGUGAAGGAGUUAUAAACACAACCGAACUGGACAAAGCUCUAAAAUCCUUCGAUAAUAACAAGUCACCGGGUAGUGAUGGGCUCUCAAAAGAAUUUUUUGUGCAAUUUUGGGACAUUUUAAGAGAAGAGCUUCUGGAUGUUUUUAAUUGUGCAUACAAUGUAGGGAAUCUAACAGAUAGUCAGAGAGAAGCGAUUGUGACUCUACUGUAUAAAAGUGGCGAAAAAGAAAAUAUAAAGAAUUGGAGGCCUAUAUCCCUCCUCAAUGUGGACUAUAAACUACUUGCAAAAUGUAUUGCAAAUCGUAUAAAAAAUGUAAUGGCUGAAAUCAUUAGUAAAGACCAAACAUGUGGAGUACCAGGCAGAUCAAUUUAUAAAAACAUAAUUUUUACCCAGGAUGCAAUAUUUUAUGCAAAUAAAGCCAAAAAACCUCUGGCAAUAAUAAGUAUCGACCAAAGCAAAGCCUUUCCUUGAAAAGUUUGGAUUUGGAAAAGAGAUAAUCAAUUGGAUAAAAAUUAUAUAUACAAAUACUGGAAGCAGAAUUUGUACAAACGGCUUCUUAUCAGAGGCAUUUAUAAUUACAAGAGGAGUGAGGCCAUAUCGUGACACCGCGUUUGAAUUUUUUUGGAAUUUGAAUUUAUUUAUUCCACCAUAGUACAGAAUGCACCUUUGGUGCGAUACAGAAAAUAACAUAAUUGAAAUUACAAUGAAUACUAACACAUACUACGAACAGCAGGCCACAAAGGCCAAAAAUAAAAUCUUACAUACAUGUAGCAAUGACAAUAAAAAUUGGUAACUAAGAAUUUACUAAACCUUCUAUCUUAGAAGUUUCUUUUAGAAAGGAGGUAAUAUUUUUCCUCAUUUUGAUGUUUCUGCUGGAUUCACUCAUGAUAUCUCCAAAUUUCAGCACAUUUGGGUUCUUAUAAUAAUACCUUGGCACAUAUUUUUUCCUUACUUGGUCUAACUCUUUACAUUCCAACAGAAUGUGAAACUCAUCAUGAGAGGAAGCAUUACAUAGAACACAUUUCCCAAGGGUUCCCAUUUUAUAUGCCAUUUUACCAAGUCUGAAAUCUGUCCACAAUUUCACAAUGUACUCAUUGUUUGAGUCUAGGUAUGGUUCUCUGCUGAUUUCUUUUUUGAACAACCGAUAAUUUGUACACUUGCUGUUCUCAUUUAUCUUUGAAAAUGAAUUUUGCGCCGCCUGGUCUGUGAGACUUCUGGCAAUGUUCUGUUUGAUAAAAUGUUUUUCUGGCGCAACCUGCGUAUUCCAUAAGUAGGAGUACCCUGAGUCAUCAAGAACAGAUUUGACAAAUUUUAUCCAAGGAGAUGUAUACACUUCAUUUCUGUCUAAUGCUAAUAAUAACUGAUACACUCGAUAACUAAGUUUUGAAUGAUUACCUCUUAAUAACCUUGCCCAAAAUUGGACAGUUCUCUGCUUAAUUUCUACACUCAAGGGCAAUCUCCCAGUCUCACAAAGCAGCAUCUCCAUUGGUGUGAAACGAUGGACUUUCAAUGCUAAUCUUAUAAAUUUAUGCUGUAGCCUUUCUAAUAUUGCAAGAGAUUC
Molecule: long non-coding RNA, 4130 nt
Organism: Lineus longissimus
Lineage: Eukaryota; Metazoa; Nemertea; Pilidiophora; Heteronemertea; Lineidae
Exons: 3
Source: RefSeq, a predicted model, not a curated record